ACAACUGAUACCUCUUGCACAUGUAUGGAAUGGUGAGCAAAGUUUCAGGUGUGA
RNAcentral lists this microRNA precursor (54 nucleotides) under Fasciola hepatica (liver fluke). Its description in RNAcentral is "microRNA fhe-mir-87 precursor". Its record names the gene fhe-mir-87. Lineage: Eukaryota; Metazoa; Platyhelminthes; Trematoda; Plagiorchiida; Fasciolidae. The record is from miRBase by way of RNAcentral.